RNAcentral lists this long non-coding RNA (2772 nucleotides) under Gossypium barbadense (sea-island cotton). RNAcentral's name for it is "long non-coding RNA (GBAR_LNC018798)". Lineage: Eukaryota; Viridiplantae; Streptophyta; Magnoliopsida; Malvales; Malvaceae. The record is from RNAcentral.
UCAAUGAGUGACCAUUCAACUUCGCUUCUCUGCAUAAUUUUAAAACCCCAGGAAAGUUGUGCUUCAAGACAAGCUUUAAAUGCUUUCAUUUCGGAGAUUAAUCUUCUUGUUCCAGUCAAAAUAGUUCGUGACAGGACAUCAUGGGAGCAGGUACUUUAUGCGUCUCUUUCUUCAACAAUUAUCUUAUUUAUGAAAACACUUCAGUUAGACAAUUCAAUCUGAUUACUCUUAUUUAUGGAUAUAAAAUUUUCAUAAAAUGUUACAUAAACUAUACUCAUUUUUUUUAAAAUUGGUACUUAAAUAUUUCUUUUGUCACAAGUGGUACUUAUAGUAUAUUCCGUUAUUCAAAGUGGUACUUAAACGAUACCUUUUUUCUCAAGUAGUACCUAAAUUAUAUUUUGUUAUCUAAAUUACUUUAGUUGUUAAAAGAAUCUCUUAGCUAAUUAUUUUGUGAUAACUAAAAAAAACCAAAAAAAAAGUCGAAUAUUAGUUUCCUUUUUUUUUAAAUUUAGAAAAUGUUCAUCUAUUUGUUCGUCACCCAAGAACUUUGAUAACAGAAAAUUUGAGAAUCUGUUGAAAACCUCGUCUAAAUCCUGUUUUUGAUGACAAAACUCAGAUUCCAAUUACUUUCUUUUUCAUUUUUAAACCUAGAUUUCGAUUCUUUUCUCAUGCCAAUUCAAAAUCUAAGUAUUAUUUUUUUAAAAAUAAAUUUCAUCCUUUUUUAUUAAUAAAAAAUCAUAUAAAGCAUGAAAAUCAAUAACGUUUUCGAACUUUUUUUUUGUCACCUAACCAUUAAGUGGCCAACAAUGGCAUUUUUUUAGUUGGUAUAAUGACAAUUUUAGUCAUCAAAUUUUAUAUUUUAAGUCUAUUUGACUCUAAUUCUAUAUAAAUGAUAAAAAUAAAAAUUCUUUUUAAAAAAAUAAAAAAGUAUACAAAAUAUAAAAAUACAUAGAAAAUUUUAAAAAAUAAAAUGAAAAAAGAUUAAAUUUUCAAGAAUAGUUAAAGUGAAAAAUUAAGGAAAAUGAUGUAAAAAAAUAUUCAAAAUCGAUUUGGGUUUUGAAAAUUAAUUUAAAUGAUUUUAAAUUUUGAAAUGAGUUUGAAAAAGAAAAUGUUGUGUUUAUUUUGUAUUUUUAUUUGUCUAAAAAAUGGUAUCAGAGUUAGUUUCACAAGCCUUUGUAAUAUUAGUUUUGGAAGUUCUUUAAUAACAUGAAACUCGACUUGAAGAUAUUACUAGUUUGGUUUUGUUCUAUUUUUAAUUUGUUAUCAGAUUUUAUUUAAUGACCAUUUUCAUUCUUAUGUCUCCAUAUUGAACAAUCUUGAGCUUUGCUAUAAUAGAAUCUUGAGUUUUCUUGAAUGAUCAUUAGUUUUAUUAUUAUUGUUAUUAUAUUUAACCUUUAUACCAUAUGAAGAGAUUAAAAUUAAUUUAUUCUUUUUUUAUUAUCUAUUUUCAUGAUUUAUUGGUAAUCUUGAAGAAUUGUUUGCAAUAAUCAGAAAAUAACAUGAAUUUUUAUAUGAACUUUUCUAAUUUUUUUUAAAAAAAUACUUCUGAGUUUUUUUAAAUAACUUUUAUGUAGAAUUAGGGUUAAAUAAAUAAAAUGUAUAAAAGUUGAGUGCUAAAUUAUUACUAUAUCCUCUAAAAAGGUGCCAUUGUUAGCCACAUAACAAUUUGGUGACAAAAGAUAAUAAUUUCAAAUACAAUAGUGAUUAAAUUGUAACUUUUUUUAAUUAACUGAUCAAAACAAAAAUUUACCUAUAAUUGAGCGAUUACUAAUGUACUGUUACAAAAAUUGCCACCUUAAUUAUCGCUAAAAAACUAAUGUUUUAGCCUUCAUUUCCUUUAAAAAAAGAGAUUUAAAUUUUUUUAAGAUUAAUAAUAGUAUAAAUAAAAAAUAAAAAUAAAAAUCAAACUACUAAAAACUGAAUAGCUAUUUGUCAUUGUUUUGAAAGAACCCUAUUUGUCCAACCAUUCAUAAUGCAGACAAUAAAAGAAAAGUCCAGUUAUUUUCGAGAGUAGUAGCAUUCACAUCUACAAGUGCCUUAAUUAAGCAGUCGACGAAACAUUUUUGCUUUCCUUUCAGGUCAAGCACUCAGGAUUUUGACAAAAUUAAAAGAAAAAAAACUCUCAUUAUGAACAAAACCAGAUAUUGCAUAGUGCAUACAGAGUAAAAAUUCCAAAAAUAAUGAGCUUAGCAAAAAGGAUGCACAAUCAACUCCAUAUUUUCAGUAGUUCAUCUGUCGAUCUCAAUUUUAAUCCAGACUGCAAAAAACACAUCCUUGCCUAAUUAUUAAUUGCGGAACAACAUCAUUCUACAAAAAUAAUAUACAUUCAUCCAUUUAACUACCUUGUAUCAGUGCAUCUUCCUGAAAAAACAAAGAUACACCUAUUUACAUUCCAUGACUUAAACUUCUUUGAGAAUCAAAGUUUCUGAAAAAUAGAACAAUUGCAUGCUUACUCUCAAACUGUAUCUACUAUAUACAUAACUAUCACGAAGAGAGAGAGAGAGGGGGGGUGCAGAAAAAAAAGCCUGCACUACAAUCAAGCAGCCAAAAAUCUGCAACAACAACUAAAAAAAGACUAAUCAAUUGUGAAGUGGGUUUGGUCCUCCUGGAACUGUUCGAUAGGAAACUUCAUGAAUUGGUCGACUCUUUUCUGCUUUAAUUCCUCAGAAGACUUUGUAGGGAAGUGCCAUGCGAAGAAAUCUGUCUUGCUUGGUUGUUCAUCUUCAUUACUUAGGCUCCUAUGGAUGUAUCGGCAACUUGAGAAGGCGAUGG